This 117-nucleotide ribosomal RNA is filed under the name uncultured bacterium. RNAcentral's name for it is "partial 16S ribosomal RNA". It matches the Rfam family "Bacterial small subunit ribosomal RNA", at positions 1357 to 1483 of the family's 1533-position model. The record is from RNAcentral.
CUACGGUGAAUACGUUCCCGGACCUUGUACACACCGCCCGUCAAGCCAUGGAAGCUGGGUGUACCUAAAGUCGAUAACCGUAAGGAGUCGCCUAGGGUAAAACUAGUAACUGGGCUA